GAGAGUAUAGCUCAGUGGUAGAGUACUUGCUUAGCAUGCACAAGGUCUUGGGUUCAGUCCCUAGUACCUCCA
This 72-nucleotide transfer RNA is filed under the name Camelus bactrianus (Bactrian camel). It matches the Rfam family "tRNA". From Rfam's summary of the family: Transfer RNA (tRNA) molecules are approximately 80 nucleotides in length. Their secondary structure includes four short double-helical elements and three loops (D, anti-codon, and T loops). Lineage: Eukaryota; Metazoa; Chordata; Mammalia; Artiodactyla; Camelidae. RNAcentral also lists the same sequence under 3 other names. The record is from Rfam by way of RNAcentral.